This 468-nucleotide ribosomal RNA is filed under the name uncultured bacterium. Its description in RNAcentral is "partial 16S ribosomal RNA". It matches the Rfam family "Bacterial small subunit ribosomal RNA", at positions 28 to 507 of the family's 1533-position model. The record is from RNAcentral.
GAUGAACGCUGGCGGCGUGCUUAACACAUGCAAGUCGAACGGAAAGGCCCAAGCUUGCUUGGGUACUCGGGUGGCGAACGGGUGAGUAACACGUGGGUGAUCUGCCCUGCACUUCGGGAUAAGCCUGGGAAACUGGGUCUAAUACCGGAUAGGACGAUGGUUUGGAUGCCAUUGUGGAAAGUUUUUUCGGUGUGGGAUGAGCUCGCGGCCUAUCAGCUUGUUGGUGGGGUAAUGGCCUACCAAGGCGUCGACGGGUAGCCGGCCUGAGAGGGUGUACGGCCACAUUGGGACUGAGAUACGGCCCAGACUCCUACGGGAGGCAGCAGUGGGGAAUAUUGCACAAUGGGCGCAGGCCUGAUGCAGCGAGGCCGCGUGGGGGAUGACGGCCUUCGGGUUGUAAACUCCUUUCGCUAGGGACGAAGCGUUUUUGUGACGGUACCUGGAGAAGAAGCACCGGCUAACUACGUG